GACGAACCGUGCAAACGUUGUUCGGAAUCACUGGGCUUAAAGGGCGCGUAGGCGGGUCUGCAAGUCCGGGGUGAAAGCCCCCAGCUCAACUGGGGAAGUGCCUUGGAAACUGCGGGUCUUGAGGGAGGUAGGGGCAUGUGGAACUUCGGGUGGAGCGGUGAAAUGCGUUGAUAUCAGGAGGAACACCGGUGGUGUAGACGGCUUUCUGGACCGUAACUGACGCUGAGACACGAAAGCGUGGGUAGCAAACAGG
This 253-nucleotide ribosomal RNA is filed under the name uncultured prokaryote. Its description in RNAcentral is "partial 16S ribosomal RNA". It matches the Rfam family "Bacterial small subunit ribosomal RNA", at positions 524 to 776 of the family's 1533-position model. The record is from RNAcentral.